GUGGGGAAUAUUGGACAAUGGGCGCAAGCCUGAUCCAGCAAUGCCGCGUGCAGGAAGAAGGCCUUCGGGUUGUAAACUGCUUUUGUACGGAACGAAACGGUCCUGGUUAAUACCUGGGGCUAAUGACGGUACCGUAAGAAUAAGCACCGGCUAACUACGUGCCAGCAGCCGCGGUAAUACGUAGGGUGCGAGCGUUAAUCGGAAUUACUGGGCGUAAAGCGUGCGCAGGCGGUGCUGUAAGACAGGCGUGAAAUCCCCGGGCUCAACCUGGGAAUUGCGCUUGUGACUGCAGUGCUGGAGGACGGCAGAGGGGGAUGGAAUUCCGCGUGUAGCAGUGAAAUGCGUAGAUAUGCGGAGGAACACCGAUGGCGAAGGCAGUCCCCUGGGCCUGUACUGACGCUCAUGCACGAAAGCGUGGGGAGCAAACAGGAUUAGAUACCCUUGUAGUCC
This 450-nucleotide ribosomal RNA is filed under the name uncultured bacterium. RNAcentral's name for it is "partial 16S ribosomal RNA". It matches the Rfam family "Bacterial small subunit ribosomal RNA", at positions 354 to 796 of the family's 1533-position model. The record is from RNAcentral.